This 736-nucleotide ribosomal RNA is filed under the name Bacillus sp. 'Bacillus M13'. RNAcentral's name for it is "bacterial SSU rRNA". It matches the Rfam family "Bacterial small subunit ribosomal RNA", at positions 51 to 769 of the family's 1533-position model. The record is from RNAcentral. Lineage: Bacteria; Bacillati; Bacillota; Bacilli; Caryophanales; Bacillaceae.
AUACAUGCAACUCGAGCGGACAGAUGGGAGCUUGCUCCCUGAUGUUAGCGGCGGACGGGUGAGUAACACGUGGGUAACCUGCCUGUAAGACUGGGAUAACUCCGGGAAACCGGGGCUAAUACCGGAUGGUUGUUUGAACCGCAUGGUUCAGACAUAAAAGGUGGCUUCGGCUACCACUUACAGAUGGACCCGCGGCGCAUUAGCUAGUUGGUGAGGUAACGGCUCACCAAGGCAACGAUGCGUAGCCGACCUGAGAGGGUGAUCGGCCACACUGGGACUGAGACACGGCCCAGACUCCUACGGGAGGCAGCAGUAGGGAAUCUUCCGCAAUGGACGAAAGUCUGACGGAGCAACGCCGCGUGAGUGAUGAAGGUUUUCGGAUCGUAAAGCUCUGUUGUUAGGGAAGAACAAGUGCCGUUCAAAUAGGGCGGCACCUUGACGGUACCUAACCAGAAAGCCACGGCUAACUACGUGCCAGCAGCCGCGGUAAUACGUAGGUGGCAAGCGUUGUCCGGAAUUAUUGGGCGUAAAGGGCUCGCAGGCGGUUUCUUAAGUCUGAUGUGAAAGCCCCCGGCUCAACCGGGGAGGGUCAUUGGAAACUGGGGAACUUGAGUGCAGAAGAGGAGAGUGGAAUUCCACGUGUAGCGGUGAAAUGCGUAGAGAUGUGGAGGAACACCAGUGGCGAAAGCGACUCUCUGGUCUGUAACUGACGCUGAGGAGCGAAAGCGUGGGGAGC